Molecule: long non-coding RNA, 1772 nt
Organism: Prionailurus viverrinus (fishing cat)
Lineage: Eukaryota; Metazoa; Chordata; Mammalia; Carnivora; Felidae
Exons: 2
Source: RefSeq, a predicted model, not a curated record
ACCAGAGGGCAGUAUGAAGAGGUGAAAGGUCACGUUAUGUAAGCGCUGGUGACAGGCCUGCGGGCCUCCAGCGGCGGAGUUGAAAAUGGGGGUCAGCGGGGGACCGAAAGGCCUGGAAUUCAAAGAGGUCAGACCAGAGAAGCCCCUUAACAUAUACAGACACUGCGCCAUCUGUCACCGACGGCGACACCGACAUCCGGGCACCACUGUCCGUGUGGUGCGCCGGAGGGGGAGGGGGAGCGCGCGGCCAGGGGCUUUGUCUUUCCACCGUGCUCCGCCCCCUCCUUAAAGGCGCCGCGUUCGGCCACGCCCGGGGAGGCGCGGGUGGGGCGGAAAGAGAGGACGGGUUGGCGGGAAUAAGCCCCAAGAUCUUACCCAAGCGAAGGUUCUCAAGAACCCCUUGAGCCCCCAGUCUUGCUCACCCCAAAGUUAACUUCUGGAAGAGAGUGUGGUGGAGAUGUGGAUACUAGUAUGAUGCUUGUUUUUAGGGGCUUGGUGGAACGGAUCAUACAGGAGCUUCUUUGGAAAAAUAUACUAAAAGACAUACCUAGUAAAGAUACAUCCAUUAACUCUAAUAGUCUUUCGCAGCACCUCCAAAGUUGAGGGCUCUGGACUGGGAGCUUCAGAGGAAAAACAAACAAUAAGACAGAGACUGUUCUGAGAAAACAAGAGGCACGAAUAAUGCCAGUUCGGUGAAGAGUGCUGUCGGAAGUGCACAGUCCGAAGACAGCAGUAACUGCCUGGAGAGUGACGACAUUUGAGCUGCUUCCCCGAGCACACUACACCCGCAUAGUCCAAACUAUGUCCUACCCAGGACAAGCCGAAACACUCACGGAUAAUUCUCUCCCUAAUUAAAUUGUCCCCUUCCGUUCAAAGAUCUUCACUGGCCUCAGAACAUACCUCCCCAGCCUGUUCUUCAACAGGGCGGAGAAAGCGGGGGUGCAUGGCAGUGCCAGACCCUUUUCUUCUCAUCUUGAGGUGAGAAGUCUCCCCCCAGGGAAGGGUAAGUACCAGGUCAGUCGCCAUCCCAAUGGAGCCUCCUCUGGGCACCUAGCAGAGAUAGGACUGCAUCCUCCUUCGGUGGCUAUUUCUUCUAAAAGGAUUAUGAGCAACCUCGGAGGACAGGACAUUUGAGUCGAUUGUGAAAAGGAAUCAAGAGCGCAAAAAGGAACUGGACGGAAAGCAGAUUGUGACUGCCAGAGCCUUGGGGGAGUGGCAAACACGGAGCACCUGCUUAACGGGUCCAAGGUCAUGAAAAGGUUUGGAGAAAGCUAGCAAUGGCCACACAGUGUUGUGAAUGCACUUAUUACCACUAAGCGGUACCCUUUUAAAUGGUUAAAAUGGUAAAUUUGAUGUUGUAUGCACUUUACCAUACUCUAAAAAAGUAAAAAUGAAAGAAAAAAAACCACUCAUGAAUGCCUCCUAAAGACCUGGAGCCAUGGCAAACAUACGCUGGUUGCAUUCAGUGUGCAGAGGGACGGAAGUGUAAAUCAGACUACAUGACAACUUCAAGAGGGAUCUCCAAAUCGCUUCUAUCAGAAAGCUCCUCUGUGGGAGUAAGACAAUUGGCAGGCACUCAGCCACCACCCCACGAGGCCCUGCCCCCACAACCUUCAAGAAAGAAGCACUCAAAUACCAACAAGACGUAUUUCAAAUAGUUUAAUUUUAAAAAUAUUCUAUUCAGUGCUAAAAUAUGUCUUCACUCACUGUUGCCCAUUUCCAUUUUCUUAAACUUUUUUGAACAAAAAAUAAAAUCACAAAGUUCAAUUAAA